Long non-coding RNA from Arabidopsis thaliana (thale cress), 222 nucleotides. RefSeq annotates it as other RNA. The record is from RefSeq. The transcript has 2 exons. Lineage: Eukaryota; Viridiplantae; Streptophyta; Magnoliopsida; Brassicales; Brassicaceae.
AAAGUUUAAACUGACGUGUGAUUAAAGGUAUUAAAGAGUGGCAGGUGGGUUUGGUUGUACGGUCAUUUAUUCAUAUAGAGUGUGACCCACCAACUCUCUGCCUGUCCUUCUUUUCUCUUACCCCCAGAAAAAAAAAAAAAGACACUGAAAUCUGAUGAAAGAAAAACCUGAAACCUAAAAAACAUAUGAAGGCCUGUCGGCUCGGCCUCAAAUCAUUGCGAU